ACCUACGGGGGGCAGCAGUGAGGAAUAUUGGGCAAUGGACGCAAGUCUGACCCAGCAACGCCGCGUGAAGGAAGAAGGCUUUCGGGUUGUAAACUUCUUUUAAGGGGGAAGAGCAGAAGACGGUACCCCUUGAAUAAGCCACGGCUAACUACGUGCCAGCAGCCGCGGUAAUACGUAGGUGGCAAGCGUUAUCCGGAUUUACUGGGUGUAAAGGGCGUGUAGGCGGGAGAGCAAGUCAGACGUGAAAUUCCAGGGCUCAACCCUGGAACUGCGUUUGAAACUGUUCUUCUUGAGUGAUGGAGAGG
This 305-nucleotide ribosomal RNA is filed under the name uncultured bacterium. RNAcentral describes it as "bacterial SSU rRNA". It matches the Rfam family "Bacterial small subunit ribosomal RNA", at positions 337 to 657 of the family's 1533-position model. The record is from RNAcentral.